AGAGCAUAGUUCAAGCAUCUUUUUUUUUUCUCUGUAAGAUAUGAACUUCUUCAUCUGUUUGACCUAAUUUUUCACCUUUUUCUCAAUGUGUUCUAAGAGGCCCCUUUCGAGAUUCCUCGCCUCUUUUCCUGUAAACACUGAUCAUCUUCAACUCGCUCAUAACAUAACCCAAAGCCUUCUCAACUCCACCCAUUUCAAACCUCACUCUGCGAUCCCAUGCAUCGCACCUCAAGUCACUUACUAUGUUCUCUCAGACCCAUCUCUUCCUCCUCGCUCCUGCUUAUCCUUCUUCCACUUCCUCGCAACACAAAACCCCCAAAAACCAGACCUCAAAGCCCACCUGAUCCUCCUCUUUAGGCUCUUUUCAGCAAAACAAUUUGCAUCAAUGAGAACCCUUUUGAAUUCCCUUGUCACCAAUGUGGAAACCAAGCACCCUGUUCGUGAGUUUGUUUCUCUAGUUGAUGAAUGUGAGUCUCAAUUUGGAAGUGAAAGUGAGAGUGAGUCAUAUUUUGUUGAGAAACUAUGUGACAUGUUGUUCAGGGUGUGUGCUGAUAACAGGAUGUUUAGAGAGGCUAUUUGGGUGUUUGAUUAUGUGAUGGCAAAGGGGUUGGCGAUAGAGGGUAGGUCUUGCUUUGUGCUUUUGCUUGCUUUGAAGAGAUGUAAAGAGGUGGAGUUCUGUGUGAGGUUCUUUCAUCGGAUGGUGGAAUGUGGCCGCGUUGAUAUUGGGGUUCAGUCUUUGACUCUUGUGGUUAAUGUGUUGUGUAGGAGAGGAGAGAUCAAUAGGGGUAAGAAGUUGAUGAAGGAGAUGGCUGGGAGAGGCAUUGUGAGGCCGACGGUUUUUACUUAUAAUACAUUGUUGAAUGCUUGUGUUGUGAGGAAAGAUCGAAAGGGGGUUGAGGAGAUACUGGGGUUGAUGGAGAGUGAGGGAGUGCUGGCUUGUUUGACGACGUACACUAUUUUGAUUGAGUGGUAUGCGAGUUCCGGGAGAAUUGGGGAGGCUGAAAAGGUGUUUGAGGAAAUGCGUGGGAGGAACAUGCAGAUGGAUGUUUAUGUGUACACGUCGAUGAUAAGUUGGAAUUGUAGGGCGGGAAAUGUUAGAAGGGCGUUGGCUUUGUUUGAUGAGAUGAUUUUGAAAGGCAUUGUUCCAAAUACUCAUACUUACGGGACGAUGAUUAGCGGAAUGUGCAAGGCGGGGCAAAUGGAGGCUGCAGAAAUCUUGUUGGAAGAGAUGCAGACUAAGGGGCUUGAUCUGAAUGUGGUGAUAUUUAACACGAUGAUGGAUGGUUAUUGUAAGAGAGGGAUGAUGGAUGAGGCUUUCAGGCUGCAAAAUAUCAUGGAAAGGAAGGGAUUUGAAGCCGAUGUGUUUACAUACAGCACUCUUGCUAGUGGGCUAUGUAAAUUGCAAAGGUAUGAAGAAGCCAAGAGGACCCUAAAUUUGAUGGUGGAAAAAGGAGUGACUCCGAACGUUGUUACUUGCACUACUUUAAUUGAGAUAUAUUGUAAGGAAGGAAACCUUGCAGAAGCUGAGAGGAUCUUAGGGAAUAUGGAUAAAGAGAGAAUGGUGCCUAAUAUUGUUACGUAUAAUACUUUAAUAGAUGCAUAUAGUAAGAAAGAAAAAAUAAAGCAAGCUCAUGUGUUAAAAUCUGAAAUGAUAGGGAAGGGAAUAGUGCCAGAUGUAUUUACAUACACAUCACUGAUACAUGGGGAAUGUAUAGUUAACAGGGUGGACGAGGCUCUGAAGCUUUUCAGUGAAAUGUUGGUAAAGGGCAUAAGAGGAAGCGUAAAGACAUAUACAGCAAUUAUUUAUGGUUUAUCCAAGGAAGGGAGAGCAGAUGAAGCUUUUAAGUUUUAUGAUGAGAUGAUGAGAAUGGGUCUAGCACCUGAUGAUAGAGUUUUUGCUGCACUUGUUGGUAGUCUUCAUAAAGUCAGUUCUCAUGUUGCUGCGAAACAAAAUGAGUGGUGCACGGAAAAUAGACUCUCCUGAUGCCUCGAGCUGGCAAACUCUAGUUUGUCAAUUUCACGUGUGGAGGUGGCUCAUACAUUAUGAUUUUGUUCUUGAAGCCUGUAUGAAAAAAAAAAAACAUCUUCCACAACCCAAUACCAAAUUAGAGCUUGGAAACUGGUACACUGUACAAAUAUUCUUGUGUUGGUUAACUUCUUUAGGGAAGCCUAAGUCUUUGGGUGCCAGUGAAAAGAAUUGGGGACAACCUAGCUACACGUGACAAGCAAUUGGCAGUGCAGGCUGAAGAAGCAAUAGGAUGGAGGAGCUGAAUUUGUCCAAGAAGCUAAGAAUUAAGAGGAGUCAGAUGCUGGCAAUCUGAGAAAAGGCCAUUUGGAAGAAGUUAAUUGGCCAUUUUGCUUCAUUAUUUGCUUAUAUGCAUUAGUUAGUUAUUUUAGAAGAGCUAAGAAGAUUACGUGCUGUUCAGGUUAUUUGUAAUCAUACUUAGGAAAGUUUAGUUAGUUAAUAGUAGUUAGUUUACUUGCAUUUUCCAGCCAUGAAUUGUUUAGGAGUUGAGUGGCCUAUAAAAGGGCUGAUACGUAACGCCAACGACAACCCACCUCAUUACACCACACCGAUUUUUUCACAUUCUCUCUACACAUUUUCACAGAGCCUGAACAGACACUUUUCUCUUUUCUCUGCUUGGAUUCAAGAUUCAAGCACCUUCAAGCCUGGUUUCAGUGACUUUUACCAUUUUGUGCAGUUUUAAUUCUCUGUAAUUGAUUUUUAUUCAAUGCAAUUUUUACAUUUCAGCC
Molecule: non-coding RNA, 2754 nt
Organism: Vigna umbellata (rice bean)
Lineage: Eukaryota; Viridiplantae; Streptophyta; Magnoliopsida; Fabales; Fabaceae
Source: RefSeq, a predicted model, not a curated record